This 67-nucleotide transfer RNA is filed under the name Muda kuroiwae. RNAcentral describes it as "tRNA-Arg". The record is from RNAcentral. Lineage: Eukaryota; Metazoa; Arthropoda; Insecta; Hemiptera; Cicadidae.
AAAUAUUGAAGUAAUACAAAUUACAUCUAGUUUCGGCCUAGAAUAAGAAUAUAUAAUUCCUUAUUUA